This 495-nucleotide ribosomal RNA is filed under the name uncultured bacterium. RNAcentral's name for it is "SSU rRNA". It matches the Rfam family "Bacterial small subunit ribosomal RNA", at positions 26 to 521 of the family's 1533-position model. The record is from RNAcentral.
AGGACGAACGCUGGCGGCGUGCUUAACACAUGCAAGUGGAGCGACGAACCAGGGCUUGCCCUGGGGCAGAGCCGCGAACGGGUGAGUAACACGUGGGUUACCUGCCUCGAUGACUGGGACAACCCGGGGAAACUCGGGCUAAUACCGGAUGUGCCCGCAAGGGGAAAGGAAGCUUCGGCCUCCGCAUCGAGAUGGGCCCGCGGCCCAUUAGCUUGUUGGUGAGGUAACGGCUCACCAAGGCUUCGAUGGGUAGCUGGUCUGAGAGGACGAUCAGCCACACUGGGACUGAGACACGGCCCAGACUCCUACGGGAGGCAGCAGUGGGGAAUCUUGCGCAAUGCGCGAAAGCGUGACGCAGCAACGCCGCGUGGGGGAAGAAGGCUUUCGGGUUGUAAACCCCUUUCAGUUGGGACGAAGCUUCGCCGGUGAAUAGCCGGCCGGAGUGACGGUACCUUCACAAGAAGCACCGGCUAACUACGUGCCAGCAGCCGCGGU